The sequence is a ribosomal RNA, 548 nucleotides long. It matches the Rfam family "Bacterial large subunit ribosomal RNA", at positions 1851 to 2597 of the family's 2925-position model.
GGUCCCGCCUGCCCUGUGACCCCUGGUUCAACGGCCGCGGUAUUUUGACCGUGCAAAGGUAGCGCAAUCACUUGUCUCUUAAAUGAGGACCUGUAUGAAUGGCAUAACGAGGGCUUAACUGUCUCCUUUCCCCGGUCAAUGAAAUUGAUCUUCCCGUGCAGAAGCGGGAAUCCUAACAUAAGACGAGAAGACCCUAUGGAGCUUUAGACUUUAGGACAGAUCAUGUAAGCUACCUCCGUAAAAUAGGUAAUAACUAUUGAACCCCUGUUCCCCUGUCUUCGGUUGGGGCGACCACGGGGAAUAAAAAAACCCCCACGUGGACCAGGAGCACACACUCCUACAACCAUGAGCCACAGCUCUAAUGCACAAAACAUUUGACCAUUAGAUCCGGCAAAGCCGAUCAACGGACCAAGUUACCCUAGGGAUAACAGCGCAAUCCCCUUUAAGAGUCCAUAUCGACAAGGGGGUUUACGACCUCGAUGUUGGAUCAAGACAUCCUAAUGGUGCAGCCGCUAUUAAGGGUUCGUUUGUUCAACGAUUAAAGUCUU